Molecule: transfer RNA, 73 nt
Filed under: Marmota monax (woodchuck)
Lineage: Eukaryota; Metazoa; Chordata; Mammalia; Rodentia; Sciuridae
Description: tRNA.Ala
Rfam family: tRNA
About the family: Transfer RNA (tRNA) molecules are approximately 80 nucleotides in length.
Source: RNAcentral
UGGGGCUGUAGCUCAGUGGUAAAGCACUUGCCUGGCAUGUAUGAGGCCCUGGGUUCGAUCCUCAGCACCACAA